UAAGGACAAAGGGUGCCGGGACACAAGC
This 28-nucleotide non-coding RNA is filed under the name Mus musculus (house mouse). The record is from RNAcentral. Lineage: Eukaryota; Metazoa; Chordata; Mammalia; Rodentia; Muridae.